GUGUCGGUAGCGCAAUGGAUUAGAGCACGCGCCCUCGCAUAGGCUGAAUUGCGGGUUCGAGUCCCGCCUGAUGCA
Non-coding RNA from Parelaphostrongylus tenuis, 75 nucleotides. The record is from the annotation of a GenBank genome assembly. NCBI's taxonomy places the organism in Eukaryota, Metazoa, Nematoda, Chromadorea, Rhabditida, Metastrongylidae.